AGUGAACGCUGGCGGUAGGCCUAACACAUGCAAGUCGAACGGCAGCACAGAGGAGCUUGCUCCUUGGGUGGCGAGUGGCGGACGGGUGAGGAAUACAUCGGAAUCUACUCUGUCGUGGGGGAUAACGUAGGGAAACUUACGCUAAUACCGCAUACGACCUACGGGUGAAAGCAGGGGAUCUUCGGACCUUGCGCGAUUGAAUGAGCCGAUGUCGGAUUAGCUAGUUGGCGGGGUAAAGGCCCACCAAGGCAACGAUCCGUAGCUGGUCUGCGCAGGUGAGCAGCCACACGGGAACGGAGACACGCGCCAGAGUCGUCCGGGGGGCAGCAGUGGAGAAUAUUGGACAAUAGGCGCAAGCCUGAUACAGCCAUACCGCGUGGGUGAAGAAGGCCUUCGGGUUGUAAAGCCCUUUUGUUGGGAAAGAAAUCCAUCUGGUUAAUACCCGGGUGGGAUGACGGUACCCAAAGAAUAAGCACCGGCUAACUUCGUGCCAGCAGCCGCGGUAA
RNAcentral lists this ribosomal RNA (506 nucleotides) under uncultured bacterium. RNAcentral describes it as "partial 16S ribosomal RNA". It matches the Rfam family "Bacterial small subunit ribosomal RNA", at positions 29 to 523 of the family's 1533-position model. The record is from RNAcentral.